This 414-nucleotide ribosomal RNA is filed under the name Pseudomonas aeruginosa. RNAcentral's name for it is "bacterial SSU rRNA". It matches the Rfam family "Bacterial small subunit ribosomal RNA", at positions 338 to 744 of the family's 1533-position model. The record is from RNAcentral. Lineage: Bacteria; Pseudomonadati; Pseudomonadota; Gammaproteobacteria; Pseudomonadales; Pseudomonadaceae.
CCUACGGGGGGCAGCAGUGGGGAAUAUUGGACAAUGGGCGAAAGCCUGAUCCAGCCAUGCCGCGUGUGUGAAGAAGGUCUUCGGAUUGUAAAGCACUUUAAGUUGGGAGGAAGGGCAGUAAGUUAAUACCUUGCUGUUUUGACGUUACCAACAGAAUAAGCACCGGCUAACUUCGUGCCAGCAGCCGCGGUAAUACGAAGGGUGCAAGCGUUAAUCGGAAUUACUGGGCGUAAAGCGCGCGUAGGUGGUUCAGCAAGUUGGAUGUGAAAUCCCCGGGCUCAACCUGGGAACUGCAUCCAAAACUACUGAGCUAGAGUACGGUAGAGGGUGGUGGAAUUUCCUGUGUAGCGGUGAAAUGCGUAGAUAUAGGAAGGAACACCAGUGGCGAAGGCGACCACCUGGACUGAUACUGAC